This 77-nucleotide transfer RNA is filed under the name Klebsiella aerogenes. RNAcentral's name for it is "tRNA-Met". It matches the Rfam family "tRNA". From Rfam's summary of the family: Transfer RNA (tRNA) molecules are approximately 80 nucleotides in length. Their secondary structure includes four short double-helical elements and three loops (D, anti-codon, and T loops). Further hydrogen bonds mediate the characteristic L-shaped molecular structure. tRNAs have two regions of fundamental functional importance: the anti-codon, which is responsible for specific mRNA codon recognition, and the 3' end, to which the tRNAs corresponding amino acid is attached (by aminoacyl-tRNA synthetases). tRNAs cope with the degeneracy of the genetic code in two manners: having more than one tRNA (with a specific anti-codon) for a particular amino acid; and 'wobble' base-pairing, i.e. permitting non-standard base-pairing at the 3rd anti-codon position. RNAcentral also lists the same sequence under 4 other names. The record is from RNAcentral. Lineage: Bacteria; Pseudomonadati; Pseudomonadota; Gammaproteobacteria; Enterobacterales; Enterobacteriaceae.
CGCGGGGUGGAGCAGCCUGGUAGCUCGUCGGGCUCAUAACCCGAAGGUCGUCGGUUCAAAUCCGUCCCCCGCAACCA